This 255-nucleotide ribosomal RNA is filed under the name Triticum aestivum (bread wheat). Its description in RNAcentral is "partial small subunit ribosomal RNA". The record is from RNAcentral. Lineage: Eukaryota; Viridiplantae; Streptophyta; Magnoliopsida; Poales; Poaceae.
AUGAAGCUCCUAUGUUGGAACAUUAGGGGCUUAGGCCUCACUGGCCGGCGUCGGCAGCUCAUCGAGUAUUUACGGCAAGAAGAGAUUGACGUUGUGGGACUUCAGGAGAUGAUUCGCCAGGACUUUAGCAUGCAUGAGCUCCAGGGGCUCAUGCACCACCAGUUUGCCUGGCAGUGGCUGCCUGCUACAUGACAAUCUGGCGGCAUCCCGCUCGGAGUCAGGGAGGAUGAUUUCUCAGUUGAGGAUAUGGACUGA